AUUGAACGCUGGCGGCAUGCCUUACACAUGCAAGUCGAACGGCAGCACGGGAGCAAUCCUGGUGGCGAGUGGCGAACGGGUGAGUAAAGUAUCGGAACGUGCCCAGUCGUGGGGGAUAACGUAGCGAAAGUUACGCUAAUACCGCAUACGAGCUAUGGAUGAAAGCGGGGGAUCGCAAGACCUCGCGCGGAUGGAGCGGCCGCUAUCAGAUUAGGUAGUUGGUGGGGUAAAGGCUCACCAAGCCGACGAUCUGUAGCUGGUCUGAGAGGACGACCAGCCACACUGGGACUGGGACACGGCCCAGACUCCUACGGGAGGCAGCAGUGGGGAAUUUUGGACAAUGGGCGAAAGCCUGAUCCAGCCAUGCCGCGUGCAGGAUGAAGGCCUUCGGGUUGUAAACUGCUUUUGUACGGAACGAAAAGGUUUGGCCUAAUAAGCUGAGCUCAUGACGGUACCGUAAGAAUAAGCACCGGCUAACUACGUGCCAGCCGCCGCGGUAA
This 500-nucleotide ribosomal RNA is filed under the name uncultured bacterium. RNAcentral describes it as "partial 16S ribosomal RNA". It matches the Rfam family "Bacterial small subunit ribosomal RNA", at positions 29 to 523 of the family's 1533-position model. The record is from RNAcentral.